AAUCCCCGUGAAGAUCCUACGGUACCUUCCUUUCAUACCGAGGAUCCAACGGCUUUACAUGACAGAGGAAUCCACGAAACAGAUGACAUGGCACAAAAACGGACGUCGAUACAAUCCUGAGAAGCUGGUACACCCAUCCGAUGGUGAAGCCUGGACAAGAUUUGAUGUGAUUUAUCGUGAGAAAUUUCUAGAGGCUCGUAAUGUACGUGUUGCGCUGGCAAUAGAUAGGUUCAAUCCAUAUGGAAUGGUAGUUGCCCCGUAUACCUAUUGGCCCAUAUUCGU
Molecule: long non-coding RNA, 282 nt
Filed under: Setaria viridis
Lineage: Eukaryota; Viridiplantae; Streptophyta; Magnoliopsida; Poales; Poaceae
Description: long non-coding RNA (SVIR_LNC000186)
Source: RNAcentral